GGCAUCUUGGCAGAGUGGUCUAACGCGAUUGACUAGAAAUCAAUUCUCUUCGGAGGCGCAUGUUCGAAUCAUGCAGAUGUCG
RNAcentral lists this transfer RNA (82 nucleotides) under Dothistroma septosporum NZE10. RNAcentral describes it as "tRNA-Ser for anticodon AGA". It matches the Rfam family "tRNA". From Rfam's summary of the family: Transfer RNA (tRNA) molecules are approximately 80 nucleotides in length. The record is from Rfam by way of RNAcentral. Lineage: Eukaryota; Fungi; Ascomycota; Dothideomycetes; Mycosphaerellales; Mycosphaerellaceae.